AAAAACUUAGGUUAAUUAAACCAAGGGCCUUCAAAGCCCUAAAUAAGGACGAAUGCCCUUAGUUUUUGA
This 69-nucleotide transfer RNA is filed under the name Anolis humilis (humble anole). RNAcentral's name for it is "tRNA-Trp". The record is from RNAcentral. Lineage: Eukaryota; Metazoa; Chordata; Lepidosauria; Squamata; Anolidae.